CCAAAGCUCCCACGAGUUCGAGCAAGAAUUGCCAAAGACCAUCCCGUCGAGCAAAUCUACAAUGAUAUCCAAACCGGGAGAAUCACUCGCUCUAAAACUCGUUUGGCUAACUUUUGUGAAAAUUACUCAUUCAUUUCUAGCAUUGAACCUAUGAAGGUUGAAGAAGCAUUGGAAGAUCCGGAUUGGAUAAACGCUAUGCAUGAAGAGCUACACAACUUUGAGAGAAAUCAAGCGUGGACAUUGGUCGAGAAGCCCGACAACAAUCACAACAUCAUUGGUACCAAAUGGGUGUUUCGCAACAAGCAAGAUGAAGAUGGUCAAGUCGUCUGCAACAAAGCACGCUUAGUCGCCCAAGGCUACACUCAAGUCGAAGUGAGAAGUUUGGAAAGCUAA
This 393-nucleotide ribosomal RNA is filed under the name Triticum aestivum (bread wheat). Its description in RNAcentral is "partial small subunit ribosomal RNA". The record is from RNAcentral. Lineage: Eukaryota; Viridiplantae; Streptophyta; Magnoliopsida; Poales; Poaceae.